Molecule: long non-coding RNA, 383 nt
Filed under: Mytilus galloprovincialis (Mediterranean mussel)
Lineage: Eukaryota; Metazoa; Mollusca; Bivalvia; Mytilida; Mytilidae
Source: RNAcentral
GCUUUGUAAUUUAUUGAUAACAAUAUACAUCAUCAUUAUGUUGGGCAGUGUAGUAUUAUUCAGUGGGAGAUCUAGAAAUUUUCAUAAGAGGGUUCCACUGACUGCCUGGGGGGGGGGGGGGGGGGGGAUUCCGUCACGCUUCAGUGAUUCCCUAUAUCACCAACCAAAAUUUUUCUGAAAAGGGGGUACCCGGACCCCCUGCCCCCACUCCCUAAAUCCGCCUCUGUUAUUGGCACUAAAUUUAAAAACACAUUAAAAAAUGAACAGUUUAAACAAUAACGUAUUGAUUAAAUUAACUCUUAAACAAAGAAAACAUGAAAUAAAUUUGCAGUAGCACAUAUGAAAAAAUAAAACACCAGAGAAACCAAUAAAAACAUAAAAAG